This 768-nucleotide long non-coding RNA is filed under the name Homo sapiens (human). RNAcentral's name for it is "PREDICTED lncRNA (TCONS_00116581)". The record is from RNAcentral. Lineage: Eukaryota; Metazoa; Chordata; Mammalia; Primates; Hominidae.
AAAGAGAAUCAUCGUGGAUCUAAUUAGUUAAGAUUAGGUCAUACUACAGUGUGUGAGACCCUAAUCCCGUAGGACUGGUCUUAUAAAAAGGGUAAUUUGGGCACAGAAAUAGACAUGCAUAGAGGGAAGAUGAUGUGAAGAAACACAGCUCAGACACCCAUCUUCAAGGCAAGGAGAGAGGCCUGGAACAGAUCAGAAGGAAUCAACCCUGCCAACACCUUCAUUUCAGACUGCUAGCCUCCAGAACUGUCGUUUAAACACCCAGUCUGUGACUCUUUACUAUGGCAGUAUGGUAGGAGACCACCACUUCUCCUGUUGUCCUUCCCAGUUUCUCCCCAACCUCCCCUUUUCCCUAGUUUAUAAGACAGGAGAAAAGGGAGAAAGCAAAAAGUUGGAAAGAAACAGAAGUAAGAUAAAUAGCUAGACGACCUUGGCGCCACCACCUGGCCCUGGUGGUUAAAAUGAUAAUAAUAUUAACCCCUGACCAAAACUACUGGUGUUAUCUGUAAAUUCCAGACAUUAUAUGAGAAAGCACUGUAAAACUUUUUGUACUGUUAGCUGAUGUAGGUAGCCCACAGUCACAUUCCUCACACUUACUUGAUCUAUUAUGACUCUUUCACGUAGACCCCUUAGAGUUGUAAGCCCUUCAAAGGGCUAGGAAUUUCUUUUUCGGGGAGCUCGGCUCUUAAGAUGCGAGUCUGCUGAUGCUCCCGGCCGAAUAAAAAACCUCUUCCUUCUUUAAUCCGGUGUCUCAGGAGUUUUGUCUGC